Molecule: long non-coding RNA, 1171 nt
Organism: Oryza sativa Japonica Group (Japanese rice)
Lineage: Eukaryota; Viridiplantae; Streptophyta; Magnoliopsida; Poales; Poaceae
Source: RefSeq, a predicted model, not a curated record
AUUGCGCAGCCUCCACACGUCGGGGUCGGAGCACGUUCGCCGACGUUCACGCGCCGCCGGGGCCGAAGCAGAGGGAGCGCGACCACCUCGGCGACGGCCAGCCGCCGACGUGCAGCCACCGGCGAACCCCCCCUCUCCCACCCUCCCUACUUUCCGCCGGUGAAGGGUUGGUCCGAGGUCUCAGCACGUUUGCCACUGUUCACGUGCCGGACCAAAUCAGAGGAGGGUGACUACCUCAGGAACGGUCGAUCGGCGUCUAUUGGCUUCCCUCCAGUGAAGGUUCAUACAUUUGCAUGGAUCAGGAAGAGCAUGUAAUUUGUGGCAUAGAGGAUGCCCGUCGCCUCGUGGGCCUUCCACCCCCAAUCCAUAUCACGAUGACAGAGUGUCUGGUAAAGGACGCGGGAGAGGUGCUGAAGCUACUUGAUGAGAACAUUACCAGUGGGAGAUGGACUGUCUCAGAUGAGACUGUAGCCCUCCUCAGGGUUCUUGCAGAAGGUUGUGAGGAUCUGAUGUAUGCUAAGAAGGAAUUAACUGACACUGUCAAGGCUGCACAGGAUGACCUGAUCACGUUGGGAGGCAACACCCUAUCAGUGGAGGAACAGCUUUUGCUGCCAGAGAAAGAAGAUCGUCGUAUUUUGGUUCUCCGUGCACUUAACCUUCCACCGGACAGCAAGCCAUCUCGGAGCUUUGACGUGGAGAACAUCGAUGCCGUGCUUGCUGCGCGUGGUCGGCUCCGUGGUCAGAUUGUACAGGCCCGAGCAGACAUGGAGGGUCUGAGGCAGUACAUCACGGAGACGUGGUUGCCGUGGGUAGAGCAGCGGUUGAACACUCAUCUCACCCUGGGAGAGCCAGUUAUGCCGUAGAGUGAUUCCUUCACAGUGUUGUUUUGAGUCUUCAUCAUGAAACUUGUUGCCUUUAGCUUACUGAUGUCUCCGUAUAUGUGCCUCUUCUAAACUGUAGUUUCCAGAAUCUGCAUGUCCCAGGAUUGACUAGUAACCACUUAUUUCCUGAAUCUGCAUGUCCCAGCAGGAUAACUAAGUUGUUGGUACUGCCAUGUUAAUUUGUUGUUUUGGAUGCUACUUUCCCCCAGAUAUUUCUGUUAUCCACUGUAAUAUAUUCACUCACCUUUAUAGCAUGACUCUCUAGCCCAUUGCUGGUUAGUUUUGAGCUU